UGCCUUUCAGUGGGGGACAACAGUUGAAACGACUGCUAAUACCGCAUAAUGUGUUUUGGGGGCAUCCCCGAGACACCAAAGCUUUAUGUGCUGAAAGAUGGCCUCGCGUCUGAUUAGAUAGUUGGUGAGGUAACGGCUCACCAAGUCUGCGAUCAGUAGCCGGUCUGAGAGGAUGAACGGCCACAUUGGGACUGAGAUACGGCCCAGACUCCUACGGGAGGCAGCAGUGGGGAAUAUUGGGCAAUGGGGGAAACCCUGACCCAGCAACGCCGCGUGAAGGAAGAAGGCCUUCGGGUUGUAAACUUCUUUUAGCAGGGACGAAGAACGUGACGGUACCUGCAGAAAAAGCAACGGCUAACUACGUG
RNAcentral lists this ribosomal RNA (365 nucleotides) under uncultured bacterium. RNAcentral describes it as "bacterial SSU rRNA". It matches the Rfam family "Bacterial small subunit ribosomal RNA", at positions 127 to 507 of the family's 1533-position model. The record is from RNAcentral.